GGACUACCGGGGUUUCUAAUCCUGUUCGCUCCCCACGCUUUCGCGUCUCAGCGUCAGUACCGUCCCAGAGAGCCGCCUUCGCCACGGGUGUUCUUCCCGAUAUCUGCGCAUUUCACCGCUACACCGGGAAUUCCACUCUCCUCUUCCGGACUCUAGCCAGGUGGUUUCAACCGACGUCUCGAGGUUGAGCCUCGAGUUUUCACAGCUGACCUUCCAAGCCGCCUACACGCUCUUUACGCCCAAUAAAUCCGGACAACGCUUGCCCCCUACGUAUUACCGCGGCUGCUGGCAC
Molecule: ribosomal RNA, 292 nt
Filed under: uncultured bacterium
Lineage: Bacteria
Description: partial 16S ribosomal RNA
Source: RNAcentral